This 693-nucleotide ribosomal RNA is filed under the name Apilactobacillus kunkeei. Its description in RNAcentral is "bacterial SSU rRNA". It matches the Rfam family "Bacterial small subunit ribosomal RNA", at positions 730 to 1423 of the family's 1533-position model. The record is from RNAcentral. Lineage: Bacteria; Bacillati; Bacillota; Bacilli; Lactobacillales; Lactobacillaceae.
UGGUCUGUUACUGACGCUGAGGCUCGAAAGCAUGGGUAGCGAACAGGAUUAGAUACCCUGGUAGUCCAUGCCGUAAACGAUGAAUACUAGGUGUUGGAGGGUUUCCGCCCUUCAGUGCCGCAGCUAACGCAUUAAGUAUUCCGCCUGGGGAGUACGACCGCAAGGUUGAAACUCAAAGGAAUUGACGGGGGCCCGCACAAGUGGUGGAGCAUGUGGUUUAAUUCGAUGCUACGCGAAGAACCUUACCAGCUCUUGACAUCUUCUGCCAACCCAAGAGAUUGGGCGUUCCCUUCGGGGACAGAAUGACAGGUGGUGCAUGGUUGUCGUCAGCUCGUGUCGUGAGAUGUUGGGUUAAGUCCCGCAACGAGCGCAACCCUUAUUAUUAGUUGCCAGCAUUUAGUUGGGCACUCUAGUGAGACUGCCGGUGAUAAACCGGAGGAAGGUGGGGACGACGUCAAAUCAUCAUGCCCCUUAUGAGCUGGGCUACACACGUGCUACAAUGGAUGGUACAACGAGUCGCGAAACCGCGAGGUCAAGCUAAUCUCUUAAAGCCAUUCUCAGUUCGGAUUGCAGGCUGCAACUCGCCUGCAUGAAGUUGGAAUCACUAGUAAUCGUGGAUCAGCAUGCCACGGUGAAUACGUUCCCGGGCCUUGUACACACCGCCCGUCACACCAUGAGAGUUUGUAACACCCA